AGUGAACGCUGGCGGUGGGCCUAACACAUGCAAGUCGAACGGCAGCACAGUAAGAGCUUGCUCUUACGGGUGGCGAGUGGCGGACGGGUGAGGAGUACAUCGGAAUCUACUUUUUCGUGGGGGAUAACGUAGGGAAACUUACGCUAAUACCGCAUACGACCUACGGGUGAAAGCAGGGGAUCUUCGGACCUUGCGCGAUUGAAUGAGCCGAUGUCGGAUUAGCUAGUUGGCGGGGUAAAGGCCCACCAAGGCGACGAUCCGUAGCUGGUCUGAGAGGAUGAUCAGCCACACUGGAACUGAGACACGGUCCAGACUCCUACGGGAGGCAGCAGUGGGGAAUAUUGGACAAUGGGCGCAAGCCUGAUCCAGCCAUACCGCGUGGGUGAAGAAGGCCUUCGGGUUGUAAAGCCCUUUUGUUGGGAAAGAAAAGCAGCAGGUUAAUACCCCGCUGUUCUGACGGUACCCAAAGAAUAAGCACCGGCUAACUUCGUG
RNAcentral lists this ribosomal RNA (492 nucleotides) under uncultured bacterium. RNAcentral describes it as "partial 16S ribosomal RNA". It matches the Rfam family "Bacterial small subunit ribosomal RNA", at positions 29 to 507 of the family's 1533-position model. The record is from RNAcentral.